CCUACGGGAGGCUGCAGUGAGGAAUAUUGGUCCAUGGACGAGAGUCUGAACCAGCCAAGUAGCGUGAAGGAUGACUGCCCUAUGGGUUGUAAACUUCUUUUAUAUGGGAAUAAAAUGUUCCACGUGUGGGAUUUUGUAUGUACCAUAUGAAUAAGGAUCGGCUAACUCCGUGCCAGCAGCCGCGGUAAUACGGAGGAUCCGAGCGUUAUCCGGAUUUAUUGGGUUUAAAGGGAGCGUAGGUGGAUUGUUAAGUCAGUUGUGAAAGUUUGCGGCUCAACCGUAAAAUUGCAGUUGAAACUGGCAGUCUUGAGUACAGUAGAGGUGGGCGGAAGUCGUGGUGUAGCGGUGAAAUGCUUAGAUAUCACGAAGAACUCCGAUUGCGAAGGCAGUUCACUGGACUGCAACUGACACUGAGGCUCGAAAGUGUGGGUAUCAAACAGGAUUAGAUACCCGUGUAGUC
RNAcentral lists this ribosomal RNA (460 nucleotides) under uncultured bacterium. Its description in RNAcentral is "partial 16S ribosomal RNA". It matches the Rfam family "Bacterial small subunit ribosomal RNA", at positions 338 to 795 of the family's 1533-position model. The record is from RNAcentral.